RNAcentral lists this transfer RNA (64 nucleotides) under Ligilactobacillus agilis. Its description in RNAcentral is "tRNA-Ser". It matches the Rfam family "tRNA". From Rfam's summary of the family: Transfer RNA (tRNA) molecules are approximately 80 nucleotides in length. Their secondary structure includes four short double-helical elements and three loops (D, anti-codon, and T loops). Lineage: Bacteria; Bacillati; Bacillota; Bacilli; Lactobacillales; Lactobacillaceae. The record is from RNAcentral.
GGAGAAUUGGGAGAGCGUCUGCCUUACAAGCAGAGGGUCACAGGUUCGAGCCCUGUAUCCUCCA